This is a non-coding RNA of Jatropha curcas, 2322 nucleotides long. The record is from RefSeq and is a predicted model, not a curated record. Lineage: Eukaryota; Viridiplantae; Streptophyta; Magnoliopsida; Malpighiales; Euphorbiaceae.
UAUAUCCAUCUGUUUUAGGCCCAAAAAGUGAAAACAAAAGGAAAAUAGUCUCUUUUGCUAACGUUCUUUACUUCUUCUUUUCCGCCUUCCCGACUCAGCGCAUAGUGCACCUGGCUUGCUUACAGACAGGAACACACUGCCCUAUACUCGCAGACUCGACGGAAGACUUCUCACGGCACCCAACUCAAGCUUUUUAACCGCAACUAUUCUCACGCGCAAUUUCCGCGUGCAAACAGCUUACAAUCUCCUUUUCUUCUUCCCUUGUCUUGCUCUCUCGGUUAUAUUUUUCGGUUACGGUUCUCUGUCAGUUUCCUCUGCAGUUAUCUUUGUAAAUUUCCAUGGAAUUUAAGUUUCGAGCUGUGGAUGGAAGACCGCGGUUUACGUACGAAUCCUCUUCCACUACCGCUGGAUACUUCUCUGAACAAGAAUUUCGAGCCGCCUAUACAAAUAUCCUAAACCCGGAGCUAAUGCGAAACGAAAUGCUCCAGCGCGAGAUUAAGAAGGAGCGCAUAAGAGAAGAGAUAAUCACUGGUGAAAUUGUGCGGCGUCGAAUGCUUGAAGCUGAAGUUAGGAGAGAGCUUAUGAUGGAGAGAGAAAUGGCAAUGCGAGCAGGAAUAGAAGGAGGCCUCUCAUUUGAGGAAAGACUGACCAUGGGAAUUCGCCCUAGAGUUUCGUGCUCUUUGAACGACCAGUUUUACAAUCGGCGACUUGAAAUGCGUCCGCCAUUUCCUGCUCGUGGCGUUUUCGAUCAGUGGCUGCAGCCACCCCGGUUAUCAGAAGCUUUGGUUGCGCCUGAUGUUAAGCCUGCUUCGGAAUAUAAUCAGUCUAGAUUAAUAGUACUGGCGAAGCCUGAUCCAAAUCUCUGUCGGGCAAAGCGAAAGGCUGCAACAAUACCUGCAGGAGAUGCUGGGGAGCUCUGUUUGGCUGGUUUAAAGAAGAAACCCAAGGAGGAGUGGAGUUGUGCCCUAUGUCAGGUUAGUGCUACAAGUGAAAAUGGUUUGAAUGAACAUCUUCGAGGGAAGAAGCACAAGGCCAAAGAAGCAAGAUUGAGAGCAACUAAGAUGGCGAAAAACCUCAGUGCCUUACAAUUGCCAAAGAAAACUGCAAAGCCAGCCGAGCUUACUAUUGGUGUUUCAUGCACAGAACUAGAGGCAAAAGUUGAGGAAUCCCUUCAAGUUAUUAAGAGUAAUUACACAGAAAAGAAAAUAGGGAAUGAAAAAGAUUCAGGGAAGAAAAAUGAAAAGCAGUUGAAGCAGAAAAAUAAGGGCGCAACAAGUGUGAAGAAAGAUGUGGCAGCAAAAUUGCAGAGAGAGAAGAGGACAGAAGAAUUUAGAAAGAAGAAGAAAUUUAAGUUCUGGUGCGAAGAAUGUCAUGUUGGUGCUUACUCUACUAUGGUGAUGGAGGCUCAUAAAAUGGGGAAGAAGCAUGCAGAUCGUUUGCGGAAACUUGAUCAAAAUGGGAAAACUGUCCUGGGCAAUGCCAGCAUGGAAUCAUCUAAAGCUGAUCGUAAGGCAAAGAAUGACAUAAUUGUGGCCGAUAAAGCAAAUGAGAAUUUGACUGACAAUUCCAUAAAAAAGGAAUCAAAAAACAAAAACUGUUGCAGAUAAUGAAAAGAUAACAGAAAAUGCAGUUAUAAUUGCAGAUGGAUGAGUGGCAAACUAAUAAGCAAAAAUUUUCUCGGUGCCUUUCGGAAGGUUGGAUUGGAAGUUGAAAACUCUUCUUACAGGGUCUUUAAACAUGGACUUAUUUUCACAACAGAUAUCAGCAUUGAACAAUUGAUCUACACCUUUGGAAUUGGCAUCGAGUCAAAGAUGCAAAGAUCCUGGAGAAUGAGGGUGAAUUUAUGCAUUUGGAGAUGAAAAACUCCGUUGAUUGGAACGUAAGGUGUUAGAUAAUUUUAAGGAUUGUGGAAUGAGGAAUACAAAGUGAAUGUUCUAGAAGAGAAAGACACCUCACACUAGCCAAUUUGAGUGCCAAGAUGCCGCUUCAUUACCAAAGGCACCAAGUACACAACAACUUCUGUAAGUUCCUCGUUUGAAAAUUUGCAGAAGACCCUACAUUAUCACUACAAAAUCUAUUCUACGCAUAUUUUAUCUCACUUUAUUUUCAUCGUAAUUUUAUUUUAUUGCCUUCAAUUGUCUGUAUCUACUUUCAUUAUUUCUUCCAAAUCUAGCUUAGUAUUUUUUUUUUUUUUAACAUAGUUCUAGCGUUUUCUUUUAUAUUUGUAUUCCUUUCAUGUUAAUCUUCAUAUCCAUAACUACUGGUGUUGAAUUUUCUGGUCAGUGUUCUUCUGUUAAAAUAUCAGCUCCACUUAUUGGAACA